GGGUUGUGAGGUUAAGCGACUAAGCGUACACGGUGGAUGCCCUGGCAGUCAGAGGCGAUGAAGGACGUGCUAAUCUGCGAAAAGCGCCGGCGAGGUGAUAUGAACCUUUGACCCGGCGAUGUCCGAAUGGGGAAACCCAGUGCAAUUCGUUGCACUAUCGUUAACUGAAUACAUAGGUUAACGAGGCGAACCGGGGGAACUGAAACAUCUAAGUACCCUGAGGAAAAGAAAUCAACCGAGAUUCCCCCAGUAGCGGCGAGCGAACGGGGAGCAGCCCAGAGUCUGAAUCAGCUUGUGUGUUAGUGGAAGCGUCUGGAAAGUCGCACGGUACAGGGUGACAGUCCCGUACACGAAAGCACACAGGCUGUGAACUCGAAGAGUAGGGCGGGACACGUGGUAUCCUGUCUGAAUAUGGGGGGACCAUCCUCCAAGGCUAAAUACUCCUGACUGACCGAUAGUGAACCAGUACCGUGAGGGAAAGGCGAAAAGAACCCCGGCGAGGGGAGUGAAAAAGAACCUGAAACCGUGUACGUACAAGCAGUGGGAGCACCUUCGUGGUGUGACUGCGUACCUUUUGUAUAAUGGGUCAGCGACUUAUAUUCUGUAGCAAGGUUAACCGUAUAGGGGAGCCGAAGGGAAACCGAGUCUUAACUGGGCGUUAAGUUGCAGGGUAUAGACCCGAAACCCGGUGAUCUAGCCAUGGGCAGGUUGAAGGUUGGGUAACACUAACUGGAGGACCGAACCGACUAAUGUUGAAAAAUUAGCGGAUGACUUGUGGCUGGGGGUGAAAGGCCAAUCAAACCGGGAGAUAGCUGGUUCUCCCCGAAAGCUAUUUAGGUAGCGCCUCGUGAACUCAUCUUCGGGGGUAGAGCACUGUUUCGGCUAGGGGGCCAUCCCGGC
RNAcentral lists this ribosomal RNA (900 nucleotides) under Pseudomonas aeruginosa. RNAcentral's name for it is "bacterial LSU rRNA". It matches the Rfam family "Bacterial large subunit ribosomal RNA", at positions 1 to 935 of the family's 2925-position model. Lineage: Bacteria; Pseudomonadati; Pseudomonadota; Gammaproteobacteria; Pseudomonadales; Pseudomonadaceae. The record is from RNAcentral.